CUGGAGACAAAGAUCUGAUGGAUUCUAUCAUGGUGAGUCUGGCGGGCUUUCCGGUUAUGUGGCCAAGUAAUAUGGUGGCUGAGAUCCCAGUGGAUGAUGAGUAUCUAAAACAUCUACUCAUGCAGCAGGGAUUCCUCCCCGUGGACUACACAGGCAUGUCUUUAACACCAGACCUGAGCGAAGGCCACCAGUAUCUCUGACAACAUGGUUGUUCGACGGAUGGUGGCCUUAUUUGACUACGAUCCAUGGGAAAACUCACCCAACAUGGACAGUGAAGCAGAACUCGGCUUUCAUUCAGGAGACAUCAUCUACGUUUUAGGUGACAUGGAUCAAGAUGGAUUUUAACUAUGGAGAUCCUUCACGGACGACGAGGUUUGGUUCCAUCAAACUUCCUGCAGGCCGUUACCGUGGCACUAGAAGAAAACGCAAAGCCAUUUGCUGCAAAUGCCAAGUCCCAGACGCAGUGAGAAACCAGCAGUUUUUGUGUAAAAUAUGACUAAAAGGAUAUUCUAUAUGUCAAAAACCAUAUAUAAGUUUUUUUUUAUUUUUAUAUGCUACUGUCUGCAUCUGUCUUAGACUGAAAGUAAAAGUCUAAAGAACCCAGCAUUACUGUCAAUAAGGAUGCUCCAAAUUGAAAAGAUCUCAAGCAUUUGUUAAAAAUGUUCCUUUAUUGAAAAAAAAAAAAUCAAUGAUAAUUACAAACACUUUCA
This is a long non-coding RNA of Archocentrus centrarchus (flier cichlid), 710 nucleotides long. RefSeq lists it as uncharacterized. The record is from RefSeq and is a predicted model, not a curated record. NCBI's taxonomy places the organism in Eukaryota, Metazoa, Chordata, Actinopteri, Cichliformes, Cichlidae. The transcript has 4 exons.